This 407-nucleotide long non-coding RNA is filed under the name Olea europaea subsp. europaea. Lineage: Eukaryota; Viridiplantae; Streptophyta; Magnoliopsida; Lamiales; Oleaceae. The record is from RNAcentral.
UGUCAAUUUAAUUAUUCAAACCAAAAAUUUCAUAAUAAGGGUUCAUCACAUCCUAGUAAAAAAAAUUUAGUUAAACAUAGAGUCGAAGUUAAACACGCAAAAGUUAAAAGAAAAACAUCACCAAAAAUUGACGGAACAUAAAUAAUUUUUUUCUCCAAAUGAGCCGGCUUUCUUCUUGUAAUUUCUCCAGCAAACUGCCGUUUUUUCUUCAAAAUUAAGCUGACGUUUUUUAUAUGUUUUCUCUCUGUUAAUUAAGCCGCCGAUCACGUGUCUUUCCGUUAGUGAUUUUCAGCCUUUUCCUCCUCUGUUUGCAUGUAUAAUGUCCCGCAACUUUUCCUCUAAUUCAGCCGCCAAUUGCCUCUUUUUCUAUCUUCAACAACUGCCCACCGUCCCCUUCUCAAUGUGUG